This 1110-nucleotide ribosomal RNA is filed under the name uncultured bacterium. RNAcentral's name for it is "bacterial SSU rRNA". It matches the Rfam family "Bacterial small subunit ribosomal RNA", at positions 8 to 1124 of the family's 1533-position model. The record is from RNAcentral.
AGAGUUUGAUCAUGGCUCAGAUUGAACGCUGGCGGAAUGCUUUACACAUGCAAGUCGAACGAUGAACCUUAGCUUGCUAAGGGGAUUAGUGGCGAACGGGUGAGUAAUAUAUCGGAACGUGCCUUGUAAUGGGGGAUAACUAGUCGAAAGAUUAGCUAAUACCGCAUACGCCCUGAGGGGGAAAGUAGGGGAUCUUCGGACCUUACGUUAUAAGAGCGGCCGAUAUCUGAUUAGCUAGUUGGUGGGGUAAUGGCCUACCAAGGCUUCGAUCAGUAGCUGGUCUGAGAGGACGACCAGCCACACUGGAACUGAGACACGGUCCAGACUCCUACGGGAGGCAGCAGUGGGGAAUUUUGGACAAUGGGCGCAAGCCUGAUCCAGCCAUUCCGCGUGAGUGAAGAAGGCCUUCGGGUUGUAAAGCUCUUUCGCAAGGGAAGAAAACUUACAUUCUAAUAAAGUGUGAGGCUGACGGUACCUUGAUAAGAAGCACCGGCUAACUACGUGCCAGCAGCCGCGGUAAUACGUAGGGUGCGAGCGUUAAUCGGAAUUACUGGGCGUAAAGCGUGCGCAGGCGGUUUGGCAAGUCAGAUGUGAAAUCCCCGAGCUCAACUUGGGAACUGCGUUUGAAACUGCCAGACUAGAAUAUGUCAGAGGGGGGUAGAAUUCCACGUGUAGCAGUGAAAUGCGUAGAGAUGUGGAGGAAUACCAAUGGCGAAGGCAGCCCCCUGGGAUAAUAUUGACGCUCAUGCACGAAAGCGUGGGGAGCAAACAGGAUUAGAUACCCUGGUAGUCCACGCCCUAAACGAUGUCUACUAGUUGUUGGUGGAGUAAAAUCCAUGAGUAACGCAGCUAACGCGUGAAGUAGACCGCCUGGGGAGUACGGUCGCAAGAUUAAAACUCAAAGGAUUGACGGGGCCCGCACAAGCGGUGGAUUUUGUGGAUUAAUUCGAUGCACCGCGAAAACCUUACCUGGCCUGACAUGCCACUAACGAAGCCAAAAUGCAUUAGUGCCGUAAGGAAGUGGACACAGUGCUGCAUGGCUGUCUUCAGCCCUGUCGUGAGUAGUUGGGUUAGUUCGAACAAGGCAACUUGGCAUUAUUGUGCGAUCAU